This 73-nucleotide transfer RNA is filed under the name Felis catus (domestic cat). It matches the Rfam family "tRNA". From Rfam's summary of the family: Transfer RNA (tRNA) molecules are approximately 80 nucleotides in length. Their secondary structure includes four short double-helical elements and three loops (D, anti-codon, and T loops). Further hydrogen bonds mediate the characteristic L-shaped molecular structure. tRNAs have two regions of fundamental functional importance: the anti-codon, which is responsible for specific mRNA codon recognition, and the 3' end, to which the tRNAs corresponding amino acid is attached (by aminoacyl-tRNA synthetases). tRNAs cope with the degeneracy of the genetic code in two manners: having more than one tRNA (with a specific anti-codon) for a particular amino acid; and 'wobble' base-pairing, i.e. permitting non-standard base-pairing at the 3rd anti-codon position. The record is from Rfam by way of RNAcentral. Lineage: Eukaryota; Metazoa; Chordata; Mammalia; Carnivora; Felidae.
GCCUGACUAGCUCAGUCGAUAGAGCAUGCAACUCUUGAUCUCAGGGUCGUGAGUUCAAGUCCCAUGUUGGGUG